This 381-nucleotide ribosomal RNA is filed under the name Triticum aestivum (bread wheat). RNAcentral describes it as "partial small subunit ribosomal RNA". Lineage: Eukaryota; Viridiplantae; Streptophyta; Magnoliopsida; Poales; Poaceae. The record is from RNAcentral.
AUGAGUAACACAAACUGUGCCAUCAUGUCCUGGAACAUCCGGGGGCUAAAUUCACCGUCCAAGAGAGAGGCAAUCAGAGAAGCUGCAGCCGCGCACAAGCUAGCCAUUCUGUGUGUCCAGGAAACUAUGAUCGACACCUGGACACAGCAAAUGGUAAAGGACGUAGGAGGAGAACGGAUGAAAGACUACGUCAUCCUGCUGGCAAUAGGAUCCAGAGGUGGAAUAGCCAUCCUCUGGAAUAGAGACUUGGUCUCUGUCUGCACGCAGGCAGUUGGCAUGUUCUCGAUUAUGGCUAUGGUUAGCAUAGUUAGCACUACGACUAUUCUUCCUCACUUUGGUCUACGGCCCCUCCGACGACACAAACAAGGAUACUUUGUUUGA